AGUAUCUGUAAACCUUCUGUCCAGGAAUUUUAUCAAGAGAGAUCAAUGAAUGUAUAGGUGGAACCGUCUAAGUAUUUCUAAAAGUGGUUCUUGCAGUGCUAUACACAUCGGUCACACUGGGAUGCAGAUUGAGCACAUCAUUGGAAACAUUGUUGCUGUCACAAAAGGACUUUCAGAAAAAUUGCCAGAGAAGUGGGAGAGCGUGAAACUCCUGUUUGUGAAAACUGAGAAAUCGGUUGCCCUUCCUAUUUUUUCCUUGUUUGUCAACAAUUGGGAUGAAGCCACCAGAAAAUUUAUGUUUAAUAAGUAGAAAAAAGCAGCGAGGAGAAAACGAAGAGAAAAAAAUGUUGAAAAACAAAAGGAGAGGAACAAAAACAAAAAGAUAAGGCAACAGGCUAGGAAGCCUGCAUCAGUCCUAAGUAAAGAUGAGGUGGCACCUAAAAAUGGUGGCACUGCAGUGAAGAAACCAUAACCAAAGAACAGACUCCAGAGCAUGAGAAUAAAAAAUGCGGCAGACGAAAAGCCCGAGAUAAAGUGACAAAUGAAUCAAAAGAUGAAGUUUUACAACCGGUAACCAUAGGAAAAACUCCAGCUAAUGAAAAUAUACAGAUUGAAAAACGUGCUAUAGGCCGAGAUGGGAAGUCUCCAGAAAAGAGUCCUGAUCCCCACACACCUGGUGGGAAGAAGAGAAAGGCAUUGCCAGCUUCUGAUACCCCAAAGGCUGCAGAGUCUGAGACCCCAUGGAAAGACCCAGGGAAGAAGCCAAAAAUCAAUGAGUCAGUGAAGGAAAAAAAAUCCUUGGCUGGGGGAAAAAGUCGGAGACAGGUACAAAAAAGCCAGAGGCCAAUUUUUUUGCUACCCUUCGUGAAUCUGUGACAAAAGUUUCCCAUAGCCCCCCCCAAACGACCCCCAAAACCCAAAGUAAAGAACUACCUGAAGAGCUUUUUAGAACUACUGGGGUCCUGACCCGCUUUGCAGCCUUCUCCAAGGGUGAAAGUCUCGGACUUCAAGAUUUGGCCGGGCGCGGUGGCUCAAGCCUGUAA
Rhinopithecus roxellana (golden snub-nosed monkey) is the source of this 1043-nucleotide RNA transcript. It is a transcript of the gene named ribosomal L1 domain-containing protein 1 pseudogene, with no coding region annotated. NCBI's taxonomy places the organism in Eukaryota, Metazoa, Chordata, Mammalia, Primates, Cercopithecidae. The transcript has 2 exons. The record is from RefSeq and is a predicted model, not a curated record.